This is a ribosomal RNA of Ignisphaera aggregans DSM 17230, 3083 nucleotides long. It matches the Rfam family "Archaeal large subunit ribosomal RNA". NCBI's taxonomy places the organism in Archaea, Thermoproteati, Thermoproteota, Thermoprotei, Desulfurococcales, Desulfurococcaceae. The record is from Rfam.
CCAGACAAUCGCGGACGCCGCCCGGUGGAUGGCUCGGCUCAGGCGCCGAGGAAGGGCGCGGCAAGCGGCGAUAUGCCCGGGGAAGGCGCAGGCAGCCGUUGAACCCGGGAUCCCCGAAUGGGAAUUCCUGCUACGGGGUAACACCCCGUAGCAUCCGGGAAACCGGGCAACCGGGAGUACCGGAGGGGAACCCCCCGAACGGAAACAUCUUAGUAGGGGGAGGAAGAGAAACCAAUAGGGAACCCCUGAGUAGGGGCGACCGAAAGGGGGAAAGCUCAAACCAAAUCUCCACGGGAUAACCGUGGAGAGAUGUGGUGUUGAGGCAGCCUAUUGAUGACGGGCCCGACCCACGGUAGCCGAAGUGGGCUGGAAAGCCCCGCCGUAGAGGGUGAUAGCCCCGUAGGCUAAACCGUGGGGGGACGAGAUAGGUUGCCGGAGUACCACGGCUUGGUUUUGCCGUGGGAAGCUGGGAGGCACCGACUUCCAAAGCUAAAUACGUCCUGAGACCGAUAGCGAACUAAGUACCGUGAGGGAAAGCUGAAAAGUACCCCGGAAGGGGGGUGAAAAGAGCCUGAAACCGGGCGGCUAAUCACGGUGCGGCCUGAAAGGGAUGAAGCUUCCCGAAGGAAACCCGGGUGACCGGGGAGUACGAGGGGGUAGACCGAGGUCGCACCGUCCGUCUUGAAACACGGGCCGGGGAGUUCACAGCCGUGGCGAGGCUAAGGGGUUUAACCCCGAAGCCGUAGGGAAACCGACAAGCCCGCAACCGGUUUAACCGGUGAGGGGCGGGGUCUGAAAGGGCCUGGAGUCACGGCUGUGAGACCAGAAACCGGGCGAUCUAGGCGGGGGCAGGGUGAAGCCGGGGGUUUCCCCGGUGGAGGCCCGAAGGGGUGCUGACGUGCAAUUCGCUCCCAUGACCUCCGCCUAGGGGCGAAAGACCAAUCUAGCCCGGUGAUAGCUGGUUCCCCCCGAAGUGUGUCUCAGCACAGCCCCACCGGAGGGUGCCUACGGGGUAGAGCUACGGAUUGGAGGUGGCUGGCGGGAUGACCGCCAGUGCCUCCAGUCCAACUCCGAACCCGUAGGCCCCGUAGAUGGUGGGAGUGGGGCACCCGGGGUAAGCCUGGGUGCCGAGAGGGGAACAACCCAGACCGGGGUUAAGGCCCCUAAGUGCCGGCUAAGUGCCAAUUAAAGGGCGUCCCGAGCCUUAGACAGCGGGGAGGUGGGCCUAACAGCAGCCAUCCUCUAAGGAGUGCGUAACAGCUCACCCGCCGAGGCUCGGGGCCCCGAAAAUUGGUCGGGGCUUAAGCCGGCCGCCGAGACCCCGGGGCACCACCGCUAUGCGGUGGUGAUCCGGUAGGGGGGCGCCGAGGUGGGGCAGAAGCCGGGCCGUGAGGUCCGGUGGACCCGCCUCGGGUGCGGAUCCCGGCGGUAGUAACAGCAAAGAGGGGUGAAAACCCCCUCCGCCGGAAGGGCCAGGGUUCCUCGGCAACGUUUGUCGGCCGAGGGUUAGCCGGCCCUAAGGCGGGCCGUAACUCGGUUCCGCCGAAAGGGAAAGGGGUUAAUAUUCCCCUGCCGCGGGGGUAGGUGCGGCAACGCAAGCCGCGCCCCCGACGCCUCGGGGUAGGCCGACUGGGGCUGCCAUGCCCCAGCUAACCGUCCGAAGGCCGGGGAGUGCCGUAAAGGCGAGAACCGGCCGAAGGAGGGAAUGGCCGCCCGUUAGGGCGGUUCGGCCGAGCCCUGGGGCCCAUGAAAAGGGGGCGCGGAACGAUCCCCCGCGCCCGUACCGAGAACCGACACAGGUGCCCCUGGGUGAGGAGCCCAAGGCGUGCGGGGGCUAACCCGGGCUAGGGAACUCGGCAAAUUGGCCCCGUAACUUCGGGAGAAGGGGUGCCUGCGGAUCCUAGGUAAACCCUGGGAUCCGCAGGUCGCAGUGACUAGGGGGUCCUGACUGUUUAAUAAAAACAUAGGUCCCCGCUAGCCCGAAAGGGUGAGUACGGGGGCCGAAUCCUGGCCACUGGCGGUCCGUGAAACCGGGGUACAACCCGGCGAAGCGCCGCUGAAGGCCGGGGGUAACUCUGACCCUCUUAAGGUAGCCAAAUGCCUUGCCGGGUAAGUUCCGGCGCGCAUGAAGGGAUCAACGAGGGCCCCACUGUCCCAGCCCGGGACCCCGUGAAGCCCACGGAGCCGGUGCACAGGCCGGCAUCCCCCCGUAGGGAGAGAAGACCUCGUGGAGCUUUACUGCAGCCCGGUGUAUGCUCCCGGCCCUUGCUACAUAGCGUAGGCGGGACCCUGUGAUGAUAGGCCUCCGGGUCUAUCGGAGGGGACAAUGAAACACCGCCUAGCAAGGGCCGGGAGCAUUACCCCGGGGAAUCCCGGGGGACAGCACCGGGUGGGCAGUUCGGCUGGGGCGGCACGCCCGCGAAAAGAUAACACGGGCGCCCAAAGGUCGGCUCAGGCGGGUCAGAACUCCGCCGUAGAGUGCAAGGGCAAAAGCCGGCCUGACCGGACCCUUGACAGUAAGGGGUCCGGCCGGGAAACCGCGGCCUAGCGAACGCUCGUGCCCCCCUCGGUGGGGGCCGGGCAUGACAGAAAAGUUACCCCGAGGAUAACAGGGUCGUCGCGGGCGAGAGCCCACAUCGACCCCGCGGUUUGCUACAUCGACGUCGGCUCUUCCCAUCCUGGGGGUGCAGCAGCCCCCAAGGGUGGGGCUGCCCGCCCAUUAAAGGGGAACGUGAGCUGGGUUUAGACCGUCGUGAGACAGGUCGGACUCUACCCACGGGGGGUGCGGGCCGCCUGAGGGGAAGGCGACCUCAGUACGAGAGGAACGGGUCGCCGCGGCCUCUGGUGUAGCGGCCGUCCGGCUGGGCGUAUGCCGCGUAGCUACGCCGUGGGGGGUAACCGCUGAAAGCAUCUAAGCGGGAACCCCUCCCCGAAAAGAGGCGGCCGUUCCCGGACAGGGUUUCCUGUCCGGGAGGAGGGCUCCCGUAGAAGACGGGGUUGAUGGGGCGGGGGUGUAAGCCCCAAGGGUCUUAUGGCCCGAGGGGUUCAGCCCACCGCUCCCAAUCGCCCGACAAGUUGUCUGG